Dermochelys coriacea (leatherback sea turtle) is the source of this 1056-nucleotide long non-coding RNA. RefSeq lists it as uncharacterized. The transcript is spliced from 2 exons. The record is from RefSeq and is a predicted model, not a curated record. Lineage: Eukaryota; Metazoa; Chordata; Testudines; Dermochelyidae.
UUAAUAAAUUUUAACUGGUAUUCUAUUGCUUAACAGUGUGAUUAAUUUGCUUUGCUUUUCAAUUUAUUCAAUUUUACUCUUUAAAAAUUUGAUCUUAUUUAUCUGUUUUGCCACUUUAAGAACUUUAUUUGUUAGCUGUAUUUAUUCUUGAGAGGACCAUAUUGACCUGGUUAGUUCCAAAUGUUGACCAGUUGUGCCUGAAUGAUAGAGAGGUUGAAGAGGCAGCACCUCAAUCUGGAUAAAGUUUAAAUUAGGUCUGGCCAGCGUAGGCUUCAGGCUGUCUGACCUUUGGUGUCAAAGGCUUCUGAGCUGUUCUUGCUAGGCUUGGCCACUUCAAAUGGGGGACAUUUCAAAAAAUCAGCUAUUCUUGACCUACAUAUAAAUUCUGAGUAUCUAAAAAAGAGAACCUGAAAAAAAAGCUCUUUACAGUUUUGGAUCCCCCCCCCAGAAACAUAAUAAUAGGCUUGGGUUCAGAUCCAGCUAUUCACAUACAAACUCCACAAAAUGUGGACAAUAUUAUUUUAAACUGCUUCAGUUUAGUCAGAACUUCUCUAUGAAAUAUAAAUCAAUAUUCCUUGUGCCUGUGAAACUGAUCCCUGUUUUGAUUUGCUGCAGCGGAAGACAAUGUUGGAGUUCCCAAGCUGCUCUUAUGUCUGUCAUCUGGUGAUGAUAGGGAAGAAAAAACCAUCACAACAAUAACUAAAACAAACAAAAAAAAAAGAAAAAUGUUCCAUUCUGCCUUAGUAGAAACAUAGGAACAAACCAAUUUGCCAAAUGGACAGCAACGUAUUUUAGGAGAAGAAAUAGGGAUUAAUAAUUUUAAUGUGUUUUUUUUUCUCUUUUUUAAAUCAUAGCUUUUACUAUGGUUGUACAUAAACCUAAUCUUAUGAAUAUUACAUUUACCAUCUUGGAUUCUGGACAAUGAUUGUCUGCAAGUCUGAGCCUAUUUGGCUGGCAGAUUGGAUAGGAGAGAACACAGGCAGCACUGGCAACCAAAUAGGAAAAGAUGUAAAAGACCAAUGAGGCUGCACCAAAAGGCUUGUAAAGAUCUCAAAA